This is a non-coding RNA of Salmo salar (Atlantic salmon), 560 nucleotides long. The record is from RefSeq and is a predicted model, not a curated record. Lineage: Eukaryota; Metazoa; Chordata; Actinopteri; Salmoniformes; Salmonidae.
GAGUCCCAGUCUGGAGUCCAUUUCCAUCUGAGGCAGAGUGCUUCAAGUUGUUUCUGACAGAGGAGCUGGUGGGAAACAUAGUACAGGAGACCAAUCAAAUCAUCAAAUGUAUUUAUAAAGCCCUUUUUACAUCAGCCGAUGUCACCAAGUGCUGUACAGAAACAGUCUAUGUUAUGGAAAGAGCAGGUGUCCUUAAUGUUUUGUACACUCAGUAUAUGUUGUGUCUACAAGCUCAUUCCCACAGAAAACUGCAGAGGGAAGCAGUACCACCCAGUCAACCAUCAGACUCCAUUGUGAGACGCCUCACAGAGGAUAUUCAACCAUCAUUGCAAAUCCAAGAUGUCAAUAUCAACAAGAAACCACAAACAGUAUUUGCCAAUAUCAUAACUGGAACUGGACAUCUUCCCAGCUGAAGAUUGAGGACAGCUUUUGUAUGCUAACGUUCUCUCCUUAACAGUUUUACUGGAUGGAAACACAGCAAGAAAACACAUAGGCCAAUAUUGACUGAACAACAACUGCAUUUCCACCCCCACCUCUAAAGGCAUAGUAUCAUGGCAGGU